Molecule: long non-coding RNA, 897 nt
Filed under: Gossypium barbadense (sea-island cotton)
Lineage: Eukaryota; Viridiplantae; Streptophyta; Magnoliopsida; Malvales; Malvaceae
Description: long non-coding RNA (GBAR_LNC022228)
Source: RNAcentral
GAGCCCCAAUCAAAGCCAAAUCAAACUCAGUCGACAUAAAUCCGCUAAUCAGCCUCACUUAACUCCCAAAAGCGCAACAAAAGCCACCACCGGAGAACCACAGUCAACAAUAUCUAAAGUCUCAUCAGUAACAAAAACUCUCUCUCCCUUCCAAUCCUUCUCAGAGAAACCAAAACCAAAAGAUCGUCUUAGACAAUGCUAGAUAUAGCAUAAGAAAAAAGAAAAAGUGAGACUACAAACGUACGGAUCUGACUUUCCUUUCUCCAUAACAAGACAAAAAAGCAUACAAGGUAGAGAAACACCAGAGUAAAAAGAAAAACUUUAACCGACCAACGAUGGUAACAGACACAAAUCUAUCUCUAUGGAAGAAGAAAGUUUAGGAAAAGAUGUCAUGGAAUACACAUUAUUUAUUUAAUAAUCGAAAACCCAAAAGGCUAUUUCCAUUUUCCUAAUCGUUACCUGUUGAGGUCUCUCUCUUUCCCUCCAGUGGACAGUGAACUGACUCUGGAUUUUGUUAUUUGUUUUUAUUCUACUCUCGCCGUGUCUUCUUCUGUCUCAAAGGCCAUUCACCUUCCCCAAGCAGUCAAAACACCGGUGGUGAAGAGAAUUUUUAUUUUAUUUAUGGAAAUGAGCUGUCAUGCAGAUACAUUAUGCAUGACCAUUGGAUUACCGAUCUUACCAUGUCAUGCGUAUAUCAUGUUUCACUGCCCCAAUUUUUUUAUUUGCACAAAGGUUUGAUGGCGUGUUGACUUCACGCGUGAAGAAAGGAAGUGUGGAUAGACUGGCUAAUGUUGGCAGCUUUAUUUUGGUAAACGAAGCGCCGCGAGUUGCAACGUACUACGGUACAGUAAAGGAUUUUUUAUUGGCGCUGUAAAUUACAAUGUUGCCACUAACUAC